This is a long non-coding RNA of Dreissena polymorpha, 2011 nucleotides long. RefSeq lists it as uncharacterized. The record is from RefSeq and is a predicted model, not a curated record. The transcript has 10 exons. NCBI's taxonomy places the organism in Eukaryota, Metazoa, Mollusca, Bivalvia, Myida, Dreissenidae.
AUGACGAUCACGUGCAGUGACGGGACGGACCAAAUCACCAGCAGUUACAAGGUGGACAUUUCGGACGCGGGUUCGACGGCAUGACGAUUGCCACGCUUGAUUACGACUCUGCUACGAGUUACACGAUCACCGUCACGUGUACUGACGCUAUCAACCCUGUGACGUCAUCAAGGACCAUCAACUUAGCCGAUGACAAACCCGUUUUCUCCGGACUUCCGGCUACGUUGUCGCCGGCACGUAACGACGGCUUUCAGACGGCGACGUUACUUUGCACGUUCAGCGUCACGGACGCCAACGACCAGAGUAUUAGCACGUGCUUGAUACAGGCGCCGAUGGACAGCUUCUUCAACCUGGUUCCCGGCACGGCGCCGACAUUUUUGCGAUCUUGGGUCAAAGCCAGCGUGACGUUGUACGCAGCAUCAUCACUCUCCUCGUAAACGUCCAGUGCGUUGACGACAGAUCGCCCGCGAAUACCAUUACCGAAACGUUCACUGUUCCCUUACUUGACGAGCCUCCGACGUUCGUUUCGGGAAUUCCCGGAACAUCUCCGUCUAUUUCCGACUCGACCGUCAUCGCGACGUCACUUGGUGUAUUCACCGUUACCGACCCCGACACGAUAUGCAGUAUUAUGUCACCGGUGACGUCAGUGUAUGAGAUCAGACCCUUGAUGUCACCGGCAGAUCCUCAAAAGCCGGGAAUUUAAAGCUGGUUCGGUGGGUGUGCGACGCCAUUGGGGAAGUUCACAACUACGGACCCGGAUACGACAUGUUCUGUGACGUCACCUGUGACAACAGUCUAUGAGAUCAGAAAAAUUGCGUCACCGACCGAUCCCUAGAAACCGGAGUUCGAAGUGUGGAUCAGAAACGCCGUUACCCAGGCGUCUAUCGACUUCAAUGACUAGGCUGUUCCGCUGCCGCUAACAAUCAAGUGCACAGACGGAAACGUUGUCAAUGACAUCACGGGGACGUUUAACGUCAACAUCGUCGACUCGGAUUUACAGUUAACGUAAGGAUGGGGGUUACGCUAAGAGCAGCGAACGGACCUUACGUCAUCAACGUCGACUGCUCAGAUGGCGACAAUAACGUCACUGCGACGUUCACACAACCAGUGAUCGAUACGCCGCCGACCUUUGUAUCCGGGAUCCCCUGAAGUUCCCCAACGUAUCUGACGCCACUGUCACGCAGACGUUACUCGGGAAGUUUACAACUACAGACCCAGAUACGGCGCGCUCUGUGACGUCACCAUCCACCACCGUGUAUGAGAUCAGAAAUGUGACGUCACCGGUGAAUGUUUCUCAGCCAGCAUACUGUACCAAUAGAGGAUGGAAAACAGCGGAUGCUCAAGAAAGGGCAGGGCGGCCUUUGGAAAGGGCAGUGUGGCGCUAAAUUGCUUUGAAAGGGGGUAGUGUGGCGCUACAAGAAAUGGCUUGGCGCCGCGCCACGGUAUAACGGCAUUGAUAAACACUGUACUGAUGUCUGCUGCCAAGUGUCAUGAUUCAUGGGCAGUCAGAUGAGUUGUUGAGAUAUUUAGAAUUAAUCAAUUGCAAUCUAAAAAAAUAAACACAAUAAACGUUGUCGGGUAGUAGUGAAUUUGGUUUUAUUUAAAAAAUAAAAAACAGUUAUCUCCAAGUUUAAAUUUGAAUUUGUAGUUAAGUCAAAUACAUUUUCCUCCCAAACACGCGUUAAUACUGGGGACCUUUGGAUUGGAAAGGACAACGUUAUUGCGUUUAAAACUGGGAAAUUGAUAUUGUUUUUUUUUUGUGCAUACAAAUACCUUCAAAUGAAGAAUAGUUUUGUUUUCAAAUAUUGCAUUUACUAUGUUAAACUGUUAUAGCUAAACUAGGAAAAUAACUAAAUGUUGCAAUUUAUUAUAAAAAAAGAUAUGAAUAUUUGUUUAUAAUUUUUGUUUAAACCUUUAAUUUGUAAAUUUAGGUAGUCAUUUCAGAAAAAUAUGAACAUUAAGGGUUAGAAAUGAUGCCGAAUUUUGGCCUCAAAUUUCACCAAAAAAAGAC